GUGAGGAAUAUUGGGCAAUGGAGGAAACUCUGACCCAGCCAUGCCGCGUGAGUGAAGAAGGUUUUCGGAUUGUAAAGCUCUUUCGCACGGGACGAUGAUGACGGUACCGUGAUAAGAAGCCCCGGCUAACUUCGUGCCAGCAGCCGCGGUAAUACGAAGGGGGCAAGCGUUGUUCGGAAUUACUGGGCGUAAAGGGAGUGUAGGCGGUUAUGUAAGAUAGCGGUGAAAUGCCGGGGCUCAACCUCGGAAUUGCCGUUAUAACUAUGUAACUAGAAUGAUAGAGAGGAUAGCGGAAUACCCAGUGUAGAGGUGAAAUUCGUAGAUAUUGGGUAGAACACCGGUGGCGAAGGCGGCUAUCUGGCUAUAAAUUGACGCUGAGGCUCGAAAGCAUGGGGAUCAAACAGG
RNAcentral lists this ribosomal RNA (405 nucleotides) under uncultured bacterium. RNAcentral describes it as "bacterial SSU rRNA". It matches the Rfam family "Bacterial small subunit ribosomal RNA", at positions 354 to 776 of the family's 1533-position model. The record is from RNAcentral.